Molecule: ribosomal RNA, 497 nt
Filed under: uncultured bacterium
Lineage: Bacteria
Description: partial 16S ribosomal RNA
Rfam family: Bacterial small subunit ribosomal RNA
Source: RNAcentral
GAUGAACGCUGGCGGCGUGCCUAAUACAUGCAAGUCGAGCGAACAGACGAGGAGCUUGCUCCUCUGACGUUAGCGGCGGACGGGUGAGUAACACGUGGAUAACCUACCUAUAAGACUGGGAUAACUUCGGGAAACCGGAGCUAAUACCGGAUAAUAUCUUGAACCGCAUGGUUCAAUAGUGAAAGACGGCUUUGCUGUCACGUAUAGAUGGAUCUGCGCCGCAUUAGCUAGUUGGUAAGGUAACGGCUUACCACGGCGACGCUGCGUAGCCGACCUGAGAGGGUGAUCGGCCACACUGGAACUGAGACACGGUCCAGACUCCUACGGGAGGCAGCAGUAGGGAAUCUGCCGCAAUGGGCGAAAGCUUGACGGAGCAACGCCGCGUGAGUGAUGAAGGUCUUCGGAGCGUAAAACUCUGUUAUUUGGGAAGAACAAAUGUGUAAGUAACUAUGCACGUCUUGACGGUACCUAAUCAGAAGGCCACGGCUAACUACGUG